Molecule: long non-coding RNA, 424 nt
Filed under: Homo sapiens (human)
Lineage: Eukaryota; Metazoa; Chordata; Mammalia; Primates; Hominidae
Description: non-protein coding lnc-SMC4-1:1
Source: RNAcentral
CUAACUGCCCGGCACCCCGCGACUGGGUUGGGGUCACUCGUCUCCCUCGCGUUCUCCCGGGAUCUUAUGUUUCUCUGCGUUUCAUUCCGUUCAAAGAAACGUGGGGCACGCGCGGCGGGUGCGGCUGCAGCAGGCGACCCUCCAGCGCACCUUCGAAGGACGUCCCUGCCCUCUGCCUUGCCUCGUAUUGUGGUUCACUAUUUGUCAUUCACCUGAAAGGAGAAGGAAAAGUACGAAAGGUUUCUCUGCUUGGGAAAAGGUGAAUGUUGUUAUAUCAAGAACGAUUACACACAUGGAUCUCAUACAUGUUUUUAGAACAUUGUUCUUCUGAUUGAAGAAGUCUGAUGCUCCUGAAAAAUCUUAAAAUAUCUGACUUGUAUUGAAGAAAAUUAUUUAAUUAAAUUUUUAAAGGCUGGUUGAAAAA